RNAcentral lists this transfer RNA (82 nucleotides) under Ixodes scapularis (black-legged tick). It matches the Rfam family "tRNA". From Rfam's summary of the family: Transfer RNA (tRNA) molecules are approximately 80 nucleotides in length. Their secondary structure includes four short double-helical elements and three loops (D, anti-codon, and T loops). Further hydrogen bonds mediate the characteristic L-shaped molecular structure. tRNAs have two regions of fundamental functional importance: the anti-codon, which is responsible for specific mRNA codon recognition, and the 3' end, to which the tRNAs corresponding amino acid is attached (by aminoacyl-tRNA synthetases). tRNAs cope with the degeneracy of the genetic code in two manners: having more than one tRNA (with a specific anti-codon) for a particular amino acid; and 'wobble' base-pairing, i.e. permitting non-standard base-pairing at the 3rd anti-codon position. Lineage: Eukaryota; Metazoa; Arthropoda; Arachnida; Ixodida; Ixodidae. The record is from Rfam by way of RNAcentral.
GCAGUAGUGGCCGAGUUGUUAAGGCGAUGGACUAGAAAUCCAUUGGGGUAUCCCCGCACAGGUUCGAAUUAUGUCGACUGCG